Molecule: small nuclear RNA, 102 nt
Organism: Suncus etruscus (white-toothed pygmy shrew)
Lineage: Eukaryota; Metazoa; Chordata; Mammalia; Eulipotyphla; Soricidae
Source: RefSeq, a predicted model, not a curated record
GUGCUCGCUUCAGCAGCACAUAUACCAAAAUUGGCACAAUACAGAGAAGCAUGGCCCCUGCACAAGGAUGACACUCAAAUUCGUGAAUCGAUCCAUAUUUUC